CGGUGGCGCAGCUAACGCAUUAAGCACUCCGCCUGGGGAGUACGGUCGCAAGAUUAAAACUCAAAGGAAUUGACGGGGACCCGCACAAGCGGUGGAGCAUGUGGUUUAAUUCGAGGCAACGCGAAGAACCUUACCAGGCCUUGACAUGGGUAGUUUGGUUUCCAGAAAUGGAUUCCUUCAGUUUGGCUGGCUACCACACAGGUGCUGCAUGGCUGUCGUCAGCUCGUGUCGUGAGAUGUUGGGUUAAGUCCCGCAACGAGCGCAACCCUCAUCCUCUGUUGCUAACAGGUAAUGCUGAGAACUCUGAGGAAACUGCCGGUGAUAAGCCGGAGGAAGGUGGGGAUGACGUCAAGUCUUCAUGGCCCUUACGGCCUGGGCUACACACGUGCUACAAUGGCGGUGACAAUGCGUCGCUACCUCGCGAGGGGAAGCUAAUCGCAAAACGCCGUCUCAGUUCGGAUUGUUCUCUGCAACUCGAGAGCAUGAAGUUGGAAUCGCUAGUAAUCGUGGAUCA
RNAcentral lists this ribosomal RNA (514 nucleotides) under uncultured bacterium. RNAcentral's name for it is "bacterial SSU rRNA". It matches the Rfam family "Bacterial small subunit ribosomal RNA", at positions 841 to 1351 of the family's 1533-position model. The record is from RNAcentral.